Molecule: long non-coding RNA, 2664 nt
Organism: Mus musculus (house mouse)
Lineage: Eukaryota; Metazoa; Chordata; Mammalia; Rodentia; Muridae
Exons: 2
Source: RefSeq, marked validated
AGUCUGUCUAGGAGCAGAGCUGAGAGCUGAGCACUGGGGGUGGGGUGGGGGUGAGGCUGUGUGCAGGGGAGGUGCAGGCUGGGCAGAGCAGCUGGAGAGCUUUUUGAGCUGGCUAAGGACCCUGGAUUUUCUUGCUACUCCGCAGACACACAGCAGAGGAAGGUGUGAGCCUCAUUGUCCCAUCACUUCUCCCCUGAGAGUGCUCCCUACCAGAGAUAAGGGCACUGACAGUUUCAGAUAUCCUAGCAGCAAGCCCCACUUUCCAGUAACUGAAGUCAUCUGCAGACACUGAGACCGUCCUUCGGAGGUGGGGCAGCUGAGAACCAUUGAAUACGGGAAGGCGUCUGAAGGCUCGUGGAAGCAGGGAUGCAGAAACACAUCCUCAUCACCUCCCGUCUCGCCUUCUCCCUCAGGAGAGCUAGAAGUACAGUCCUCCCAGCAAGGUCCAGGGAGAAAGAGCUUGGUUGGUGGAGGCUCACGUGUGAGCUGGAGAGAGCGUGGGUUUCUUCAUCUCCAUGGGGGUGAUGGGAUCCCAGUACUUCUGAAGUGGGACAGUGGGACUGAAGCCUCACAGACAGGAAAGGCACUCGUUCACUAACCACACCUGGGCAGAGAUGGCCACACUGAUGUUUUAUCAGGCGAUUUUGCCUUGAUCAGGCCAGCUGCUUCGGGGAGGUGGGAAGGCUAGCACAAAGCCUCUGUGAAUGCUUGCAUUUGCUCCUUGGUGCUCACUCAUGCUUCCUCAGAGCGAAAGCUCCCCACUCCUCCAGCGUGCUUGGGCACAGCUGAGUAGGCGGGACAUGACGUGCCAAUUUGCUCUUCCUUCCCCGAAGGCCGCUUCCAGACCAUAUUUUUUAAUUUACAGAAUUUCUUAUCUAUUCCCUUGUUAUCCUGGAUACCAAUAUUUCUGCUAGCCAGAGAAUCCUUCAAACAAGAAAGACCCGGACUACGAAUCUUUAGAAUACACUGCUCUUUAUAGCCCCAGAGCAGCAGGCUCUAUAAUAUGGGGGGAUGCCUAUGACGGGCCAGCUAUAAUCCCAACUGAGGGAGGGCAUCUGGGCAGUAGGCUGGGGUUCUGCUGAUAUCAGGUGCUGACCGUUCCAUAGCCAGUGUGCUUGGACCUGAGCCCCGAGGAAGAUGGGAGCAUCCUUCCUCCGGGAUUUUACCCAAUAACCUAUAUGAACAUUUUGUGCUGUCUUCCUGAUCUUGAGCUACAGGAGCAGUGGAAGCUGAAAGUGCCCUGGCCAGUGAGAUUCUUUAGCAGCUAAGCAACAGGCUGAAGUAGCUUCUGUGUUGGGCAAGGAGGCUUCUAACCAUCUGAGCCUACCAGUGGAAAAUCAAGCAGACCCGUAAAGCAAGACCUUACAUCCCACAGGCGUGGAGAAUUGGGUUAUGGCACUAAGCAAUGGAUUCCCAUCAGCCAAGGUAUUAGUUCACACACUAAGGGGUGUGUGAACUGGAUGGUAACCAUGAUGACCAAGUUAGAUCUCAUGGCGCUCCCAAAGUGUGGCCAGCAGCCGUGAUGCUUUGUGUCACCCUCCUGGGGGGGCUUGUGUUAGAAACCUUUCCUCAGCUUCCUCUAACCCCUUUGGAAUCCUUCCUUGCUGGGCAGCCCAGAGGCUGCCCUUUGCCAAUGACAUCAUGGAGCACCUUGCCCACUGGGGUUCCGUUGGGUGUGGUUAAUGGGAAGUGUUGCAGGAGAUUAGAGGGAAGAAGUUUGUUUUCUUUGGUUUCCAGGUCAACUCCUCUGGAAGGUCCUCAGCUUCUAGAGGAUGGUCCCCCUUCUUUGCAAAACUCUUUUUGGGUUCCAUUAACCACCCUGUCUCUUGUCUCUUCCUGUCUAUCCAGACAGUUUACUGUUACAAACCUCAGAGAGCUGUCCCAUAGGCUCCUCUUACCUCUGAAAUAUUAUGAAUCUCUUCUCAAAUCCGUCUGUUGCUGACAGACCCUGACUGAUCUACAGGGUCUGGCCAAUGGUGGCACUGCCUAGAACUCUCAACCCAGGGCAAAUGAAGCAAAACAGAAAUCAUGGCUGAGAGUUCAGCUGUAGUAGGUGUGGCAGGGACUGUGGCUAUGGGGUUGGGUCCGGUGUCAGCUGUGUCCUGUUGUAGUGGACAUAGCAGCCUGCCAAGGUCAUUUAUUCUGCUUUGGUCCUUGGACAGGGCCUUGGUUUUUGCUCUUUUUCUUUUUUUUUUUUUUUGUUCCAAUGUUUCAGCCUUCCAAUAAUUCCUUGCUCCUCCAACAUCAUUCCAGGAAAAAAAAUGAUGCUGAUGAAUUUUAAAGUUCAUGUAGUCGGAGAUGUCCUGAUGCCUGCCACAAUGAACUUGACUGAUACAACCCAACAAGCAGAUGCUUGGUGUCUGGCCUGAAGCAUUGUUUAGCGGGAUGAGAGAUUAUAGGGCUCUUUACAAGUGAUCACCUACCAUGUAUGUGGGUAAAGGUUGACUACACAACCACCGUUCUGUAAAAAUGUGUUAAUCACAAGAAACAUACCACAAACCAUCAGAAAGAUUUGGCCUAGAUGUCCUGGAGAUAUUGGCACAACAAACAAGCAAACAAAACUCCAAAACAAAAGAAAUUCACAAACAAACAACAAGACCAAUGGCAUGUUUCAGUCCGUUGACUUUUUACCAGACAAGAAAUAAAAACUCUUCCUGGCUUGGG